GGCGCUUAGAGGGUUAACUCCAAUUUUGUAUAAAAGACAGCACGCUCGGCGAAUUCAAUUGGGGUACAACGAAACGAUACCGUCUUCAAGGAUUGAUUCUAUCAUGAUUUACACAAGUCUAGCAGUACUGGUGGUGCUUCUGGCCACACUGACCGACGCGGCAGGUUCCGGUCAGCGGCUUGUGUGCCAGAGUUCUCUGCCGACCCGGCACCGUGUGUCGUGUCGUCCAAGACUGUGCCGGACCUAUCUGCCCCCCACGGGCUGCGUGCGUCCCUUGCGUUCCAUUAGGUAUCGAUGCCGUCUGCAACAGAAAUAAUUUCCUCAAUGUUGUACUUGUCGGUAACCCCCUGGUGCCACA
Molecule: long non-coding RNA, 358 nt
Organism: Physella acuta
Lineage: Eukaryota; Metazoa; Mollusca; Gastropoda; Physidae
Source: RefSeq, a predicted model, not a curated record